AGAUUUCCUGUGAGAGAGAAAACACACGGUGCUGACUGACUUCGUUUACCUGAGGUUGACCUGGCUAAAGAUGUCACGUGGCUUCUUCUGCGAUGUUUGUAAAGUGCCCAAGAAGGACAGGUUGGGUUUAUGCUGCUAUCAACUCAGAAGGCAACGCAGUUCAUUGCGUCUCGGGAAUGUUUGCAGACACUGCUGUUCCAGAUUCAGAGCAAAGAGUGCCAUCUGGUGAACCAAAGACUUCAUUUCCUGCAGCUGCAGCUGCUCCUGGGAGGCUUCCCAGCUGAGACCCCUGAAGGGGCUCUGUGACUGCAAGGAAGCAACGGGGCGCAGGCUGCGAGCAGCCAGGAAUGAGCCAUAGUGUCUGAAGGAGAAAAAAGGCUUUUGGAAGCUAA
Myodes glareolus (Bank vole) is the source of this 392-nucleotide long non-coding RNA. RefSeq lists it as uncharacterized. Lineage: Eukaryota; Metazoa; Chordata; Mammalia; Rodentia; Cricetidae. The record is from RefSeq and is a predicted model, not a curated record.